UUCGUGGGUAAAUUAACAUCAGUUACGAAAAAAGAAGAUUGCAGAAAACAUGGGAUGCUGAAUCAUUUCACAUUUAAGCAAAGAUGUUCAUAGCUGCAGAGUCGAAGAACCUUAUCAUGUACAGAUGUCAGUCGGGAAAAGGCGAUUUUCGCCGACAAGAUUUUAUAAUUUAUAUACCGAUGAACUUGUUGUUUAUAUAUAAGCAUAAAUCGAAAGCUUUUUCGGAAUCAAUAAACAUGGCGUUGGACCGAACAUAUCAAUUAUAUUGGUCGCUAUACCGAAACCGACAAUAAAUUAAGUGUGCGUUGAAUUAAAUCCAAUUUCCAAGUACAGUUUGGUGAUAAAUAUUGCUCUCUGUAUAAAGUCGGUUUAAUUAACAUAUAUUCGUUUCGUGCAUGAUGCAUGUUUUCUCGGGAACUAAAAUGCGGAAGUACAAAGACUAGGAACUCGUGGUUUAACGAGCCUUUUCCUGUAUCAGUUUCCACAAUCAGCAGCAGAAUGUCGUGGCUAGUUCAUCGCUGGUUACUGUUAUAUGGUAC
Molecule: non-coding RNA, 539 nt
Organism: Paramuricea clavata
Lineage: Eukaryota; Metazoa; Cnidaria; Anthozoa; Malacalcyonacea; Plexauridae
Source: the annotation of a GenBank genome assembly